RNAcentral lists this ribosomal RNA (488 nucleotides) under uncultured bacterium. RNAcentral's name for it is "bacterial SSU rRNA". It matches the Rfam family "Bacterial small subunit ribosomal RNA", at positions 1 to 507 of the family's 1533-position model. The record is from RNAcentral.
ACGAGUUUGAUCAGUGGCUACAGGACGAACGCUGGCGGCAUGCUUAACACAUGCAAGUCGAACGGACUGAUUCCUUCGGGAUGAAAGUUAGUGGCGAACGGGUGAGUAAUGUAUGAGCAACCUGCCUCUGUCAACGGGAUACCUACUGGAAACGGUAGUUAAUACGGUAUAUGACCACAGCAUCGCAUGGUGCAGCGGUGAAAGAUUUUAUCGGACAGAGAUGAGCUUGCGUCUGAUUAGGUAGUUGGUGAGGUAACGGCCCACCAAGCCGACGAUCGGUAGCCGGACUGAGAGGGUGAACGGCCACAUUGGGACUGAGAUACGGCCCAGACUCCUACGGGAGGCAGCAGUGGGGAAUAUUGGGCAAUGGGGGAGACCCUGACCCAGCAACGCCGCGUGAAGGAAGAAGGUUUUCGGAUUGUAAACUUCUGUCCUAUGAGACGAAGGAAGUGACGGUAUCAUAGGAGGAAGCCCCGGCUAACUACGUG